UUGAAUUUAGGUUUUUAUUAUUUUUUAUUGUUUACUUUUAUUGGAGAAUUAUAUUUUUUUUAUUAAUUUUAUUUGAAACAAUUUUUUUAAUUAUAGUUAAUUGUACUGUGAAGGGUGAUUUUAAAAUUUUUAUAAGAAGGUUUAUUUUGCUGUACCUUGUGUAUCAGGGUUGAUUAAUUUAUAAUUGUUGAUUUAAUUUUCUCGAAUUUAAAAGAGCUAUAAGUUAAUUUAUUUUAAUGUUGAAUCAUUAUUUAUAAUUUAUUUAUAGAAAUGAAAUGUUAUUCGUUUUUAAGUAUAUCUGGUUUUUCAAGAAAUGAAUUUAAUUCGUUUAACAUUUAAUGAUAUUAUAAUUUUUUAUUUUUUCAUUAUUGUUUUUAAACCUUUAAGGGGAUUAGCUUUUUAAGGUAUUUUUAUAAUUUAUUUUUAAGAAUUUUUUUGUAGGAUUAGAAUUUUCCAUUGAUUGUAGAAUGUUAUAAUUAGUUGAUUAUUUAAUUUUAUUUUGUUUGUUUUAAUUUUUUUAUUGAAAUUUUUUUUAAAAUUUAAAUUGGUAAUUAAUUAUGAUUAAAUUAGUAUAUUUUAAUGUUUAUUUAAUUUAUUUUUUAAGGUAGGCUUAAGGAACUCGGCAAAUUUUAUUUUCACCUGUUUAUUAAAAACAUGUCUUUUUGAUUAUAAUUUAAGGUCUGACCUGCCCAAUGAUUGUUUAAAUGGCCGCAGUAUUUUGACUGUGCAAAGGUAGCAUAAUCAUUAGUUUCUUUAUUGGAAGCUGGUAUGAAAGGUUGGAUGAGAAAUUAACUGUCUCUGGUUUAUUUUUAUUGAAUUUUAUUUUUAAGUAAAAAAGCUUAAAUUUUUUAGGGGGACGAGAAGACCCUAUAGAGUUUUAUAUUUAAAUUUUUUGUGAAUUGAGGAUUUUUUUGUAUAAAUUUAUUUAUUUUAUUGGGGUGAUAUAAAAAUUGAAUUAACUUUUUAUUAUUAAAACAUUAAUUAAUGAAUUUUUGAUCCUUUAUUUGGAUUAUAAGAUUAAGUUACCUUAGGGAUAACAGCGUAAUUUUCUUGGAAAGUUCUUAUUGAUAAGAAAGUUUGCGACCUCGAUGUUGGAUUAAAAUUUAUGUUUGGUGUAGUAGCUUAACAAUUGGGUCUGUUCGACCUUUAAAAUUUUACAUGAUCUGAGUUUAAACCGGCGUGAGCCAGGUUGGUUUCUAUCUUCUAUUUAUUUUAAUGUUUUAGUACGAAAGGACCGUUCAUU
This 1243-nucleotide ribosomal RNA is filed under the name Tenebrionidae sp. 1 ACP-2013. Its description in RNAcentral is "16S ribosomal RNA". The stretch from base 1033 to 1191 matches the Rfam family "Archaeal large subunit ribosomal RNA", at positions 2542 to 2701 of the family's 2987-position model. The record is from RNAcentral. Lineage: Eukaryota; Metazoa; Arthropoda; Insecta; Coleoptera; Tenebrionidae.